Molecule: long non-coding RNA, 763 nt
Filed under: Vulpes vulpes (red fox)
Lineage: Eukaryota; Metazoa; Chordata; Mammalia; Carnivora; Canidae
Description: lncRNA (ENSVVUG00000019149.1)
Source: RNAcentral
GCUGUGACUUUGCUGCAGGUGCUAACAGGAGGAGACAAUAGGCUGCCAGGCAGAGGCAGAGGGAGGGAAAACUGGAUUCCCACACAUCCUGCGGCCUUGGCAAGUGGCACACAUUGCAUGAGUCUGUGAAAAUAACUUCUACUGGGAAUAUGUGCCAUAAAUAAACAAAGACUGCUCAGAAAGUUAACAAGAAUGAAGGAAUGAGAGAGGAAGAAGAGAGGAUCCUUGAAGGGCAUUGCCUUGGCAGCGCUAACAGGGUGGUCAGACAUAGCAGAGGAGAAAGGACAGAGGAAGCCAGCUAGAGGAUGCAAGAGCCCCCAGGAAUCAGCCAAGAGUGUGAACAGGGUGGAUGGAAAAGAGACCAAGAGAAAAAAAUAAGUGGCUUAAUGACCCAACUCUACCCAGAGAAUGGAAAAUAAAAUGCAAGAUUCUAAACCCCGCCCUUCCAUUUCAUCUUCAUUUUUGAAAAAUUCAGGAAAAGGUGGGCUGUUUUGCCUUCCUACCAUGGACGAGGAUCUUGAAGGAGAAACUUGGCAGAGCUUUUCCAUUCCCUGGGGCUUCGGCCAAGCAGUAGAGGAUGAAGGAGAACAUAUCUGCCAGCUGCUGCCGAGAGGCCAGAGAGUGUGGAGGCCACCUUCCAAUUCUACCUUCUCAAACAGACCAUGCUAUAUACUUCACCUGAUGUUUCUGAAAACGCACAAAUAAAAUCAUGAAUAUCCAUCAUGUACCUUGUUGUUACACAGGUAGUAGAAUCGCACCAGAG